UGGGAUCUAAAGAACAAGUAAGAUUUAAGCAUGCUAUGGGUUUUUUGGUCUGUUUUUUAAGUUUUCUUUGUUUUAUAGUAUUUCUUUACCACUAUAAAUUGUCACUUCUUAGAUAAGCAUUAGCACUUUUAUUAUGGAGCAUGAGGAAUAAAAAUGAACUUUUAACACUUUUGGAUUAUUUGGAGGCUUUAAAAACCUACACGAAUUUUCUACAUAUGGUAGGCAGACAGAAAGACAUUAUAGAUGGAGUGAAAUUUCAAGCCCAAAGUAAUGGGCAUGUUUUUAUGCUGAGUGAGAACAAAUCUUUAGAAUGAAUUCUUAUAAGGUAAUUUUUAAAUGAAGUGUCUAUUGCUAUAGCUGUUUUACUCUUACCUCUUGCCUAACAGAACAGGUCAGAGAGUAGUUCCUUUGAAGUCCCAAACCUACUUACUACCUGCAGAACCAUGACUUGGUACCAGAGAAUUUGGGCAAUAUGGGGUACAUUCCCCAAAUUAGAAUGUAAUAUAUGUUGGGAUGAUAAGGAGAGGGGCUUUAGUUAAUAGAGUAGAAAAGAGAAUAGGUGAGAUAAUGGUCAAAAGUAAAGCAAAUGAAGAGGGGAAAGUUGAAAAUAAUCAUAGGGAAUAAAGCAGAUCACCAUAAAAAUAAAAAGAGUAAACAAAUAGAUUACAUAAUAUUUUAUUAUCAACUAUUGAAAGAAAGGAUACAGAAAUAGGACAAAAUAAGAAUAGAGUGGAAACUGGAAACUAAAGAGAGGUAGAGACAGGAUAUGUAACAGGUUAUACUUGAUUAAAAUAGAGAAAUAAAAGAGGAAGUGUUCUAAGAUAAAGUUCCAUUUUUAAUUUUUCCUACUUAUUUGACAAUUUACUUAGUUGAAACUAGAUCUUGAGUGGUUUAAAAAAUAGAAAUGUUGAAUAUUUUUAUCUGUUUCAUUGAAGAAGGAAAAAUUGUAGUCAUCGUAUAAUUAUUUGAUGUUUUGGAGAUUUUUGCUUUAUGCGCAAUUCAAGCCAUGUUCAAAUGAAGAAAAUGUUUCUUGAUUUGUAUCAAGUUUUCCUUGAGUGUUCUAACCCUGCUCUACUCUUGAAAUCACUUGACUUUGAAAAAAGGGAAAAUCAUGCAUUUAGAGAGGUUAAAUAAGUCAUUAUAAUGUCUUUCUCAUCUACAGAAAGCAUGUGUUAACCAAUAUAAAUUUACAGUCAGAACAGUUCAAAUUGCUCCUGCAUUCAGGAAGGCAAAGCCCUAAAUUGAGCCUGUUGUUAUUGUGGAAAAGGCCGCAGGUUCCAUCCCUGGCCUUACUAAGUGGGUUAAGGAUCCUGCAUUGCUGUAAGCUGUGUUGUAGGUCGCAAACAUGGCUCGGAUCCCAUGUUGCUAUGGCUAUGGUGUAGACCAGAGGCUACAGCUCCAACUCAACCCCUAGCCUGGGAACCUCCAUAUGCCACAGGUGUGGCCCUAAAAAAAAAAAGAGAAAACAAAACAAACAAACAAACAAAUGCUGAUGCCGAUCUCAAUUGUAAUGUACAGAUUUACAAAGGAAUUUUAUAGGAGUUCCUGCCCUGGAGCAGCGGAAACGAAUCUGACUAGGAACCCUGAGGUUGCGGGUUCAAUCCCUGGCCUUGCUCAUUGGGUUAAGGAUCUGGUAUUGCCGUGAGCAGUGGUGUGUCUAUGUCUCAGACGAGGCUCAGAUCCUGCAUUGCUGUGGCUGUGAUGUAGGCCAGUGGCUGUAGCUCUGAUUGGAUCUCCACAUGCCUCUGGUGAGGCCCUAAAAAAAGACAAAGAUAAAAAUAAAUAAAUAAAUUUUAAAAAAGAAAGGAAUCUUGUAGAAGUGACAUUUUUUUUAUUCCAAAGCGUAAAUCAUAAAGAUUCAGCCAGGUAACUUCCCUUUUAAAGGUAAAUAAGUGAAAAUUCAUUUUUAGCAGCAUUUUCACCUUUUAAUUGGGAAGUGUGGCUUUAAGUUUAUGGUUAUUGCUAUUUAUUGCUUUUGGGGGGCUAUUAUGAGUUAAUUGUUUAUCAUCACAAUAAAAGGUCUCUUUUUUUCCUAAAAGUUGAAAUAUCUUGGGGAAAAGAUUUUGGUUACUUAUGGUCUAUUAUGUAUAAAGCUAUCAUUAAUAGUCAAGCAUCCAUUAUUUUUCCUAACUAUAGAGCUGAGUUUAAUGACCAUGGUGUAGAAAGAGCCUGUUGACGCUGACGCCAAAAUACUAGGUAAAAUCCCAACAUCUUCACUGAGAGCCACUUAGUCACUCUGGGCUUCCAUGAUUUCAUGUUCAAAACAAAGAUAACACUGCCUACUUAGAGGAUGGCUCUGGCAUUUGAACAGCCUAUCAACCUGAAAUUAUUUGGGUCUUGCCCAAUAUUACUAGAUGACAUAAAUGGUGACGCUUGGCUUGGUCAGGAACCUCGAUCACUAGAGGUUCCUAUCCAAAAUCCCACAAGUCAAACAAAUGAUUUCGUAGAGAUUAAAUUGCAGGUGUUUGUACUUGUCAUUCAACUUUAUCAUUAAAAAAGUUAUUUGGGGGGGUAAAUCAACCUUUAUUUAAAAAUCUUUAUUCAUCAUCUUCAUGGCUCUGUAUCUAGAGUGCAAGAAAAUCCUUCAGCAUCAUCAAAAUCUUUACCUGCUUUCCAGUGCUUUGCAUUCCUCAGUGGAAAAAAAUCUAGGAUUCUCUCCCCUAUUUCAGUAGUGCUACGCUAGGUGGUUUUACAAACAUCUCCUCACAUAAUCUUCACAUCUGUCAGGUAAAGUAGAUAUGAAUGUCUGCUUUUCUAGGCAGUUCUCAGAAAUGCCAAAUAUUGUGACCAAGGUCACCCAGCUAGAAAAGGGAAGGAACUGGAAUUGGGACUCAGAACUCUUCCCACAGCUUAUGUUUCUUACAAAACACCUUCCUAUUUUCUUUAGUGAAAUGCAAUAUUUUCAAUACAAAUAUUUGUAGAAGUAUUAUCACAGUAUAAGUGGUAAGACAGCCUCACUGACUCAGGAUUGUACCUGGGACAAGCUCUAUGGGGAGGCAUUAGUAAGCAUUAAAAAAAUUCUUCCUACUCAGCUAAUCGACAGCAGGGUCAACCUCAAGUCCUCCUGCAGGUGUCUUUAAGAUUCAAUUCAUCUACAUUUCUCUUUUAGCAGAGAGAAGUCCUAGGUCCUCUAUUUCUUUCUAAUUAUAGGCAUUUCUCUUCCUAAUAAAACCCCCAAAAUUCUCUUUUCUGCCCCUGCUUUUCUGCUGCUGGUUUGAAUUCUGUGGUUCAUCUGGGUUGGUCCAAGUCUACUUGCUAAAAACAGGGAAGAGAAUAAUUAUAUCCAAAUGCACAUUGAACAGUCCCUUUGAGACACUGGCCUUUUGAAUUUCUUUAAGAAAAAAAAAACUUAGAAAAAAUAAAAUUGAAGCUGCUGCAUGAGUAGUUAAUUUUAAAAAUAGUUGUUUCUAAUUAAUUCAUUAAAAUAAACCUAUUUUAUGCUCUUGUUAGACGUCACCCUAGACUAUAAAACAAAAUCAGCAAAUGAUUCUCUUUUACUCCUUCACACACACACACACACACACACACACACACACACCCUCACAUGCACAGAUAUACUUACACACAUGUAUGCACAUACCAUAAAAUGAUUUUCCCCUUUUCAAUGAAAUAUUCUAUAUUCUAUAUUUUUUAGACUACAUAAUAUUGAAAAAGAGAUUUUUGGAGAAAAGUUGAAAUGAUUGAGCCUUAAAUGUGUUAUGGCAUUUUUAAACUUUGAAUAAUCUCAGCCUAUCUAAACACAGCAUUUUAAGUAGUCAUCAUCUUGUUUCAUAAAUGAGGGGUUGACUAUGUUUAGAAAUAUGCUUUCAUUGUGCUGAUACCACAGAUCAGAUUUCUCUUUCCUCAGAUUGUCUGCAGUGUAAACAUGCUGCUUGAUAAAGAUGACAGUGAAGUUAACUUGAUUGCUAGGCAACUGUAUUGUUAUUGCCAUAGAUAAACACACUUAUUUCCUCUUUGGUGUUUUCCUGGUAAGGAAUUUCUAGACAAGCCUAAUGCUUUCUUUCGGAUUGAUUAUUCAUUUUAAGUAAUUGCGUAGGUAUCCUUUAUUCUUUGGGACUUAAUGCAUGGAAGAGUUCAGAAGGAAAUGUGAGCUCUCAGAUGGUGUUUUUCAAAGCAUGAUUAGAAACAGGGAUGUUAUCAAUGAGAAACAUUUGGAGUCUUGUACACGAGAAGGAAUAUAAAUUGUACAACAUAAGCAUGUUUCCAUCCAGACUGUGAAAACUAAGUGUUAUCUUGGAAUCAUGGGGGUGUUUUAUUUACAAUGUCAACUUCAUUCAUGAAACUCAAAUAAAUGCUUCCAGAAUGAAAUGGAGUAAUAGCAGUGGACCAAAGGGUUGUUUAUUUUACAUGGCUACCUCUGUACUUGCAAGCAGAGUUAUUGUCCCCCUGUGAGUCUUACAUAGAGCUUAUAAUUUACUUGCUAUAGAUAAAUGUUCAUUAUCUUCAACAACUACUGAUUAUAAGGAUCAGAAGGCAUCAAGAGGGCAAAAGUGCAGCAGCCAAGAGGAGUUCAAGGGCAAGGCCAGGGUGAUGCUGCUUAAACUACAAGCUGCCCCUAACUAGGAUCCAUGUUAUCCAGGAACCCUGGCUUGCCCAUUGACACUUUUGUACCACUAGAGUAACUUCAGUGCCCUUUUGUGAAAGGAAGGAAGCUUUGAAUUAGUGGGACCAGAGUAAUAAAACUAAUGCUGACAACGACAUCUUCAGCACCACUAUGAAAGAACACAGUAGAUGCCUCCCAGUGCCUCUUACACCCAGGUAUUCCCUGAAUUUUGAUAUCAGUUUGGCUGCCUAGCUCAGGGCAGAGUCGGUCCUGUCUGCAGUGCCCAUAUAUUUGUAACCCUGCAAGAGUGCC
RNAcentral lists this long non-coding RNA (4855 nucleotides) under Sus scrofa (pig). Its description in RNAcentral is "lncRNA (ENSSSCG00035012448.1)". The record is from RNAcentral. Lineage: Eukaryota; Metazoa; Chordata; Mammalia; Artiodactyla; Suidae.